This 8225-nucleotide long non-coding RNA is filed under the name Triticum aestivum (bread wheat). RNAcentral's name for it is "long non-coding RNA (TAES_LNC008548)". The stretch from base 2839 to 2953 matches the Rfam family "MIR1120/MIR1122 microRNA precursor family". The record is from RNAcentral. Lineage: Eukaryota; Viridiplantae; Streptophyta; Magnoliopsida; Poales; Poaceae.
ACAUAAAUCGAAGAACUUAAUGUAUAGCCACUCAAAUCUGACGUCACCAAGCACAGUUGAGGAAUCCAGUAAACCAGUGUGACCAAGCAUGGGAAACUGACCUGCCUCGAGUCCCCUUCACCAUACGUUCACACACCACAUGGAGCUUCACUCCCAAACCAGAUCAAGAUCCAGUACUGCGAUAACAAAUGAAACAAACAGACUGUCUACGAGACACUGACCUCCAUGUACAGAGCAAAGGUUUGGGCCCAAACUCCUAAUAACAAUUACUUGGCCAACCCACACACAAGACCAAGAGAACACAGGGAUCAAGAGUACAGAUAACAAGCAUGGAGAGCUAGUCAUUGCCCACAUGGCCUGGGAUAAAGAAAAAUCUGCAACCAUAGGAAGGGCAGGGGCAAAAACCUAUAUCAGAGAGAUGGCCAAGUAACUACAUGAAAAAUAAAAUAGGAAGGUAAGAAUCUUUUUCGGUUGUAGGAUGUGUCAUUAGUUGAAAGCUCUGGAUUAUCCUUAUAUUCGUGCUGCAUAUGAAUCUGUAUUUAAAAUAUUGUCUAGUAAGAUAAGUUAUAGGUUAUGUAUAAGUUACAAUGAAUUGAAACGACACUAGUAGAUUUAGAAGAUCAGUAGACGGAUUCAUCGUCAGGCUGGACAGGAGUUCGUCAACUACAUCCUGCAGCGAGCAAGAGACCGUUUCUAUAAAAAAAUUGUUAGGGGAAAUGCUGCUUAUAAAUAGCAAAAGCAUGAAUGAUGAGUGGGAACAAGUAAAGCCUGUCUAGGGUCAGGUAUGGAUGAUGGAGGACAACAACGCCAGUUCCAAACUGAAGUUAUAUCCUUUCCAAGUCAGUAUCUGCAAGAGCUGAUAAUUACCAAGGCAAAGAGAACCUAAUGUCUAGAGUUCAAUUAGAGUAAAAAAGGUUGAAAAAGUUUUAGCCACAGAAGGAACCGCCAUGCCGAGGAAAAAUAGGACCGCCUACUAAGCCAUAUCAUUCCAAUUUCUGGAGAGCCACCAAGAAAUAGUUUAAAUCAGAAUUGUGGAGAACCAAAACAGAACAGUGGAGACGAAAGAGUAAAACAGAGGGAGUGAUAAUUAUCCAAAUGCAGAGCAGCAAGAUGCGUCGCUCCCGCUAAGCCAUAUAAUUCCAAUUUCUGGAGAACCACGAACAUAUCCAAAUAUCCUGCACAUAGGCUCAGACUUCCUAAAUAUAUCCUGCAACUGAUACACGCAGAAGACCAGCACAGGAAUCAAGAGUACAAACCAAACGAUUUUAACAGAUUCCGACUCACUACCAGCAUGGUUUGGGAUUAAUCUGCAACCAAAUGGAGGGUAGAAGGAAAAACCUAAAUCAAAGACAUGAACAAGUAGCUACGUGAAACAAAAAUAAGAGGUGAGUUAAAACUGGAGCAGCCUUUUUCACUGUAAGAUGUUCCAUUAGUUUGAAUCUCCAUUGUUGAACCUUGGCAGAUAAAUCUGAAUUCAAAAUAUUGUCUGGUAAGAUAAUUUUAAAGGCUGACUAAGUUCUGAUGAAUUGAGAAAAUAGUUGAUUUAGAAGAACUGCAAACAGAUUCAAGUCGGCAUCAGGUUGGACGAGUUCAUCAAGUACGAUCUGCAACGAGGAAGAUACCUUUCUAUAAGUUACAAGAGGAAAACUAGGCUCAGCUAAAGCAUGCAUCAAAUGUUGAGGUAAAGGGUAAGUAAGCCUGUCUUGGCCGGAAAGUCAGGUAGACAACACUGGUUCCAAUUAUUUCGCCCCCAAGUCAGCAUCUGCACGAGCUGAGAAUUACCAACCAAGGCAAAGAAAAUAACAUUUUGAAAGUUCAAUUAUCAAGGGAGGAUAAAAGGUCGGAUAUGUUGGACCACAGAAAGAACCACCAUGCCGAGGAAAAAUGGGUCACCCGCUAAGCCAUAUAAUUCCAAUUUCUGGAGAACCAGCAGAAAUUCUAAAUCAGAAUUGUCGGGCAACUAAUUGAGCUAUGGAGAAGAAAUUGUCGGGCCUUAGGCAUUUGCCCGAAGAUCUUGAACCGAGGGUAGGAGGUCAGAGAUCUCCACGGCAGCGCCUCCAAACCGCUGCCGAUGAGCAACAACGGGGCAGGUCUUCACCCGGAGCAUCUCGAACACCACCUCCACGCGCCGCAAUCCGCUCACCCGCUCGCCUCCCAUGCAACAACCGCGCUAUCGCCGUAUGGGAGCCACCACGUAUCUCGCCGGCACCAUGUCGGGCCAGAUCCGGCCGCAACCGGAUCACCAUCUAGCCUCACGCCGGAACCCCGGCUGCCUUCAGCCACCAAACGGACGAGGCCGCCGGGCUAGCAAGCCAGCCAGAUUUGCAGCACCAAGCCGGGAGGGGGCGUGCCACCCUGCCCCAUCCCGCAGUGUGGAGCUGCCGACCCGAAGCACAGGCAGCCCGCAGCAGCCGCUACACCGCCAAGAGGGCGCCGUCGAACAUGCGUAAGCCGCCGACUGCCACCCCAUCUUCCAGAUCCAUGCGCCAGGAGCCACCAAGCCGCCACCAUCCGCCGGAUCCACAGCGGCAGGAGCUGCCAGUGCACCACCGAGACGCUGCCGAGCCGAGCACCACCAUCCCGCGCAGACCGCAGGCAACGCUCGUCGUCGCGCCGGAUCCGCACCUGGCCGCGCCCGCCCACAGCUCCGCGACGCAAAGGGAGACGGCCGCCGCCAGGAGCAGUCCUCCCGCCGCCGGCACCGCACGGGCUUUGCCCGAUGGUGGCCGGGGGGAGGGGGGAGGUGGCCGCUGGUUAACGGCUGGGGCGCCCCAAUGCCACCCGGGUGCGAGAGGCAAAAUAGUGCCAUACUUGCGGCGAUUUGGAUGAGAAGAAGAUGAUGUACUCCCUCCAUUCGAAAUUACUUGUCGCGGAAAUGGAUGUAUCUAGACGUAUUUUAGUUUUAGAUACAUCCAUUUCCGAGACAAGUAAUUCUGAACGGAGGAAGUACGUAUAUCCUAAGAAGUCUAUCGAUAUUUUUGUUAUUCAUGGAUCAAUGCAUUUUGGUCCUAUGCUUUAGAAAGGAAAGACAGUUUGAACCCCACAACGGUUAGGGUCACUUAUGCCGAAUAAUCCAAAAGUUCCAGGACAUCAGCAUCCACUCGACAAACAACUGCGGACAUUCUACUCGCCAAUGAUUCAACAACGUAUAUUAACAUCUGCGCUGAUCAAAUAUUUAAGAUACAGCGCGAUGAAAUUACGAGACGAGACAGACACUGUUGUUGGAAUUUGUAUACAGCCGAAACUGCAGCUAACAUCUACAGUAGUGCGCAAAGCUUGACUGACGGUGUGUCUAACUGAAAGAAACAAGGGCACGUACCUCUACACACGAGGUGAUGAAGGACGUCUCCAGAGGGGAUCGCAGCAAGGCCGGUCCUGAGGUUUUGAGAGCCCGGGCGAAACUCAAACUCGGGGCCCUUUAAUAUAGACAUCAUGACAAUAAAAUUGUUGGUCUGGCAAACGGCGGUUUCCUGAAAAUGGCAACAACAUCGGUCGAUUUUCCUAAGGAGAACACGAGGCGUGAACGGGAGUGACGUGGCCGACCGCAGCAGCUGGGCAAGGCCCACGUUGUCGCGGGUAGCAGGGUCUCGGGGGUAGACACCAGGCCGAAAAAGAGGGGUAGUAGAGUGAUGGUCGGAACGGCGGCAGACCGACAACGCACGAGGUGGCUAUAGCAAGCCGGCGCGUCAGCGUAACACAAGCUGAGGGUGAUGGUGGACAGCAGUACAUCCAGGGACGGAGUUAGAAAAUUGGCAUGGAGGGGGCUAGACUAUAAGCAAUUGGCUUUAUUAUUUUUAUUAAUUACCUCUCUUCCUAAUCGUGUCUUCCAAGUACAAAUGGAUAACUGAAAAUUUCCUAAUUAAUUAUUGAUGUUUGUAACUUCUAAAAUUCAUCCCACUUCUGUAGUUUUAUAGUCACAAAUUAAUCUAAUGUAAAAAAUAGAGCUGAGGCGCAAUCAAAUUAGAUAUAGCGUAAACUAACCUUUCUUCCUUAGACCAUCACUGUCAUGCUUAUUCGUGUGGGUGACACCAGCCGGCCGGCCAUGCGUGGUGCCCCUGCAGUUCUGCAUUGCUGCCCUUCUCACCCUCUAUGGAUCCACUGGUAUCAGCUUGAUCAGGCGCUCUGCUGAAUCGAUGUCCAUUGGCAGGCAGUCGGCGAACGUGCGUUUGUGCGUGUGCUACAAGGACUUGGAGUCCAGAUCGCGGAGAACGGAGUUGCGGACUUCAUCGGCGACUCGGCGUCGGCGCAUCGCGACUCCACCUGCGACUCUCGGUCGCGGCCAGUCAGCUAGGGUUAACCUGAAUCGGGAUCGGGAAGAAGAAUCGGGCCACCCGCGACUCACGAAGACACCGUGUGAUCGGUGUAAUCAGCGGCUACAUGCCUUCCUAGCCCAUGGGCUACCUGCCUACGUAACAGGCUUUUGGGGGGCCCUGGAUUUGGGGGGCCCGGGGCGGCCGCCCCCCCUGCCCCCCCCUCAGGGCCGGCCUCGCAGUGGUUGAAGCUUCUUCAGUUUUGUCGGACUUGAAUUUCUACUCUGAAAAUGAACCACCAUAUAUCUGCAUCCCUGACUUUCUUAUGGGCGCAAAAUGAGAUUGUGUGAACGGUAACCACAACUUGACAAGGACAACCAAUAAUGUACGUAUUUCCGAACACGCCCUGAACUUGCUUUUACAGAUUACAAAAAUUCCUCCGCUAACCUCAUUAACUCAACUUGUAAUAAUGUACUCGUAUUUCCCAACUCCUGAAUCACUGCUAUGAUUACCACUACCAUCCAAGUGCAAUAUCAGGACCAGUCACGCAAACGUACCUGCUAGUUUACUGUAACUGAAAUUAUCAGGGAACUCUGUGAACCAUCCCCACUUGCUUGCAUCUGCUACCCUUUUACCCUACUGCGGAUCUCUUGUCCAGCAAUACCACAGCAUUUUCUAGGAGACCUUUCAUGCAAGGCUUCCUACACACUCACGACUUCCCUUCGGGGAAGGUAAGUAAAACACUGACCUUGUACAGCUAGAAAUUCAGCAAGUUGUUGACAGUCCCGACUAACCAAAAUUACCCUUGCCCAGAUUCUUCAUAGCAAAGGUCUGUGCAGCUUCAGUAUUCGACUAGGACAGUCUGUGCAGCUUCUACUCGCUUAAUUCGCUGCUACUCAAUGUAAAAUAUUUGGGCACCAUGACAGUUCUAAUGCAACCGAUACAGAGGAGCUAACUGCAGUUCCCUCCACAUUUUCUCAUCCGGGCUUGGGACCGGCAAAGGCAGUGUUAAACUACUCCUACUUAAAACACAAAAAUUAGCAAACACUACAAACAAUUAUUCAGGUAAGCAUACAAGCCACGUAAUCAACCAAAGGAAGCACUGACACCACACACGAUUGGCAAUAAAUAUUCACGCAACAUUUUCGGAAGAUCAUCACACAGACAUAGGGCACAAACAAAGAAUGCCAUAAAUUCCAGAACCUGAAUGGGAGUAACUAAUUACACUAGUGGGAUGAGCGCGAUUCAAGUCUUUGCACAGGGAAAGCUUUCGAAGUUUUAGCCAUUAUAGGGUCAGAGGACUGUAAGAUGUGUGAACAGAUACUUCUGUGUCUUUAAAAUCUAUAUAUAGGAUUUAUUAUUUAGUAUGAAACAGAAUGGGUUUGUCCAAGUUUCAAGUUACGAAUAUGCAAUCGGUAGGAAUCAUCAAAUUAGUACUUCUGCUAGUUGCCAACUAUAUUAAAACUAGGAAGUUGCCAGAAAACUAAGAAUAUAUGUAACUCAAGAGAAUAUGUGGUUCAAGAUUCAGAAUCCAGAUCAAAUUAGCAGUUCACCGGCAAAGAAGGUCAAUUAGCCAUUAGAGGAUGUGUGAACGCUAUGAAAUUAUAGAUUUAAGAAUAUGUAAUUGAAGAUUCCAUAAUAAUCCAUAUCAAAUUAGCAGUUUGACAGUAAAGAAGGUCAAAUUAUCCAUUAGAUGACCACAAGAUGUGUGAACGAUAUGAAAUUGUCUAUUUAAUAAGAAUAUGUAAUGGAAGAUUCCGUAAUCCAGAUCAAAUUAGCAGUUUGCCGUAAAGAGAUCAAAUUAGCCAUUGGGGGACCGUAGAGAUGUGUGAGCAUUUUGUGUCUUUAAAUCCAGGAUGAAGUACGAAACAAACUGCCAUAUGUUGAAAGUAAUCAGCAGGAUUCAUCAUCAACUUAGAGUGUGUUCAGGAAUCAUCAAAUUGGCCAGACUGUUCUGCUAGGUGUCAAUUUAACCAAACCGAGAAGAUGCAUUGAAGAAUCCAGAUCUCACUGGAGAAGCACCAAUGAGAAGAACAUCACUUCUGAAAAUCAACUCCAUACCAACAAAGCAGAAUCAUAUUCAGUGAACAUGUUCAGGGCAAAAUAUUUGUUCAAGCUUCCAAGCUCAGAAGCUUCAACUAUCUAUUGUUUUAGCAUAUAUAGCAAUAACUCCUAACCACUUUAUGCAUAUCAAGUCAUCAUUAUUACCCAACUACAGGAGGCCAACCAACACAAGUGCGAGCGUGGGAUCUUUCUUUAUCACCAAAGUAAAAAAUAUGAGCACACCAAAAUUUGAUUUUGUGUCAUAAGAUGGACCUAAACAACGUAUAAUCAUGGACAACAGUAUGUAGAAUAUGACAAAUCCAAGUAUGACCAAUUCAUAUAUAUAUAUAUACAUAUAUAUAUAUAUAUAUAUAUAUAUAUAUAUAUAUGCAUUAACAAUUUUUACUGUGUUCAGAGCUCAUGUACAUACGAUCUUUACUUCCUAUUGGGUGAUAAAUUUGCAAGUUGAAAGAUACAAGCAGCCAAAUAUCACACUUCCUGAAACAGUAUGGUAACCAGGUAAUUUAUAGUCAAAUCAAACUUUGAUAAUCUGCUAUACAAACUGAGUAUGAACUGAUAUUUCCAUUUCGGACCCUUAUUUGAGACUUCUAGCAUUUUCUUGAUUCGAGCAGAAGAUGAGAUCAUAUUCCAUCCAACCACAUGCAAGUUGAAGAAGAUACCAUGACCAGUAAAAUGGCAGAACAGAAACCAAGUAAGAUGCUUCAGGACAGUUGAAAGAAUCAGAUGUGCACACUACCAACUCCAAGCUGCACCAAAGAUAUGAGGCACUGAAUGCAAGUUCAAACUGAAAACUACCACAAAGACCAUGGCAUUAUGCUUCAGGAUCACUAAUCAGAAGUCAAAACCAUCAGGGAAGCCCAUUUGCUUUCACCAAGUCCCAGUGCUGACUGACUACCCAACUCUACAAUCUUGCAAUAAAACCUCCAAUAAUGCAAAUCAAUGAACGGCCCAAAUAUGACAGGCAUACUUAUCUUCAAGGAAAACCAGACCAUAAUGAAAUCUGGGAAAUCAGUUGAAGCAAGCAUGGAGUCCAGGUUUAAGUUUUUGUGGUCAAGGAAGACUCCUCCAUCCAGAACGAAGCUCCCAAACAGCCAUCAGACAAACAUAAAUCAAGGAACUUAAGGUAUAGCCACUCAAAUCUGACGUCACCAAGCACAGAUGAGGAAUCCAGUAAAUCAAUGUGACCAAACAUGGGAAACUGACCUGCCUCAAGUACCCUUCACCGUUCACACACCAUAUGGAGCUUCAUUUCCAGACCAGAUCGAGAUCCAGUCCUGCAAGCUAAAUUGUAGAGGAGGCCAUAACAAAUUAAACAAACAGACCGUCUACAAGAAUCUGACCUUACUCCAUGUACAGAGCAAAGGUUUGGGCGCAAACUCCUAACUAUUAUAUCUUGCCAACCCACACUCGCAGAAGACCAAGAGAGCACAGGGAUCAAGAGUACAGAUAACAACCAUGGAGAGCUAGUCAUUGCCCACAUGGCCUGGGCUAAAGAACAAUCUGCAACCAUAGGAAGGGCAGGGGCAAAAACCUAUAUCAAAGAGAUGGCCAAGUAACUAAUAAAUGAAAUAAAGAAAAUAGGAAGGUAAGAGUCUUUUUCGGUUGUAGGAUGUGCCAUUAGUUGAAAGCUCUGGAUUAUCCUUAUAUUUUUUUUGCAUAUGGAUCUGUAUUUAAAAUAUUGUCUUAUAAGAUAUUUCAUAGGUUAUAUAAGUUAAAAGAAUUGAAACGAUACUAGUAGAUUUAGAAGAUCAGUAGAUGGAUUCACCGGGUUGGAAAGGAGUUCUUCAACUACAACCUGCAGCGAGCAAGAGGCCUUCUCUAUAAAUUUUUGGUUAGGGGAAAUGCUGCUUAUAAAUAGCUAAAGCAUGGAUGAAACAAUGUGGGAACAAGUAAAAGCCUGUCUAGGGUCAG